AUGGAUAACCGUGGAAAAUCUAGAGCUAAUACAUGCAGAAAGCGGCGUUUGGCCGUGCGUAUAUUAGAUACCAAGCUGUUCCAUUUUUGUGGACGGUGAGUCAUAAUAUCCAAGCGGAUCGCAUGGGGCAACCCGGCGACGAACCGAUCAAAUUUCUGCCCUAUCAACUUUGGACGGUAGCGUAGUGGGCUACGGUGGUUAUGACGGGUAACGAACCAUGGGUGUGGGAUUUCGGAGAGGGAGCCUGAGAAACGGCUACCACUUCCAAGGAAGGCAGCAGGCGCGCAAAUUACCCAAUUCACAAAGUGAGAGGUAGUGACAAUAAAUAACAAUGGUCGAACCGCAAGGUUGACCAAUUGGAAUGAGAACAAUUUAAAACGCUUAUCAAGAAUCGAUUGGAGGGCAAGUCUGGUGCCAGCAGCCGCGGUAAUUCCAGCUCCAGUAGCGUAUACGGUCAUUGUUGCAGUUAAAAAGCUCGUAGUUGGAUUCUAUUUUAUAAAUUUUAAAAAAAAAUUAUUUUUUACAAAUGGUUUUGUAUUUUUUUUUUUAUAAAAUAAUAUAUUUUAAGGAGGUGAUAUAAUAAAUUUUAUUUUAUUAUAAUGGAACGAAAGUAAAGUCUCUUUUUUUUAAUUUUAAAAUAAAGAGUCACCCCUUAUAUUUUACUUUGAGUAAAUUAGAGUGUUUAAAGCAAGUUUUAUUUUUUUAAAGAUAUUUCGCUUGAAUAGAUUAGCAUGGGAUAAUGAAAUAGGACUUUCAGUUGAAUUGUUGGAACAGUUUGUCAACUGAUAGUAAUGAUUAAUAGGAGCGGUUGGGGGUAUUCGUAUUGAAUUGUCAGAGGUGAAAUUCAUGGAUUUGUUCAAGACGAACAUCAGCGAAAGCAUUUACCAAGGACGCUUCCGUUAAUCAGAACGAAAGUUAAGGGAUCGAAGAUGAUCAGAUACCGUCGUAGUCUUAACCAUAAACUAUGCCGACCAAGGAUGGCGGGUCGUUGCAUGGAUGACUCUCGCCGAACUUUUGAGGGAAACCAUUGAGUGUUUAGGUUCUGGGGGGAGUACGGUCGCAGGCUGAAACUUAAAGGAAUUGACGGAAGGGCACCACCAGGUGGUGGAACCUGCGGCUUAAUUC
This 1125-nucleotide ribosomal RNA is filed under the name uncultured eukaryote. RNAcentral describes it as "partial 18S ribosomal RNA". It matches the Rfam family "Eukaryotic small subunit ribosomal RNA", at positions 139 to 1196 of the family's 1831-position model. The record is from RNAcentral.